RNAcentral lists this ribosomal RNA (253 nucleotides) under uncultured bacterium. Its description in RNAcentral is "partial 16S ribosomal RNA". It matches the Rfam family "Bacterial small subunit ribosomal RNA", at positions 524 to 776 of the family's 1533-position model. The record is from RNAcentral.
UACGUAGGGGGCGAGCGUUGUCCGGAAUCAUUGGGCGUAAAGCGCGUGUGGGCGGCCCGGUAAGUCCGCUGUGAAAAUCCGGGGCUCAACCCCGGACUUGCAGUGGGUACGGGCAGACUAGAGUGUGGUAGGGGAGACUGGAAUUCCUGGUGUAGCGGUGAAAUGCGCAGAUAUCAGGAGGAACACCGGUGGCGAAGGCGGGUCUCUGGGCCGAUACUGACGCUGAGGAGCGAAAGCGUGGGGAGCGAACAGG